CUUUUUUUCAUUUUCCUUGAAAGUUUGGGUCAAUUUCAUUGCAAUUUAAAUGGAAAUAUGCCCGCACGUCUAUCUCAAUGCAAUUUAAGUCUGGGUCAAUCCAACAUUAGGCAGUAUUUUUUCAGCUACUUACUGAACCGGAGUUGAGGACAAAUGAUCUAAGGUCAGGGAUAUAUCACUUCCAGCCUGAGACCAUCGUGUUUACGGACCUGGAAGAACUGACUUGAUUAUAUCUCCACCCUCUUUUCACAGCCAAGUUGUUUCUAUGCAAGUUGUAGUUGUUCUCUGAAUAAUUUUCAGCACGGAAAAAUAAAGAUGUGUGCAUCUCCGUACAUAUAUGCAUAUCAUAUAUAUGUGAUCUUAUAAUUCAGACCAGAGUCAUAGAAAUAAUAUGGUGUAUGUAAGCUCUCUGGAAGGAAUUUAUUUGUUUCUUGAAAUAAGUUAUCUCUGAACAUUUUUGAGAACCUAUAGUAUCUAUGGCCAAUUCUGUUCUUCUCUAUGAAUUGCACAGGUCUGGCCUCUUUCGAAAAAGAAACGUCUACACUUGACAUUUUCAUCUAAUUUUGUUGCUCGAACUUCCUAGCAUCGGAUCAAUAUGUGACAUUGAAUGUGCUCCAUUAUUAAAUCGAAAAACUCAGUUUCGUCCACAUUUUUCUGAAUGCAUCACUUGGCGACAUUUUUGCUCAUUAUGUGGAUGCAUGGAGGUCAUGAUACUCUGAAUUAUCACAGGGUAGCAGCAUCAUGCAGUAACACUUGGGCAAGCCAUUUAACAACCACUUUUUUUGUAGGCAAACGUAAAACUGAUGUGCUACAGUUGUUAGUGCGGUGCUUGGGAUUUGGCCUGUACGAUUUGUCAAAAUAGAAGAAGAGGUGAAACAGUUCUUAGCUGAGCCUAUAUAUAUAUUUAUUGGUAUACUAUGUCUAUGUAGUCACCUUGAUGAGAAUUGUUAAUUGGCUGGCUGGUACCAGGUUCCAAAAUAAUUAUUUAUAUAUUGUAUAAAAAUGCAAUUCUUGUCUAAUGUCAUUGAUCAGGUUACUGUCUAACUGCAUUGAUCAGGGUUAUUGUCUAAUGGCAUCGAUCAAGGUUAUUGCCAACCAAGCUGAUAACUUAACAUGUAAUUCUUGUCUAAUGGCAUUGAUCAGGGUUAUUGGCAAACAAGCAAGUAAAUAUUUAGGAGAUAACUACAUUUCUGCAGAUGAGAGUUAUUGGCAAACAACCUGCUAGACUCUGAUCUGGUGGACACCUUGAUAAGAAUUUGUGUAUGGCCAUGUAUAGUAUGAAGAAGACGACCAGAAUAUUAAGUUGGAGUUGGUCUCAGUCAGUUGUGCCAAGUCGUGGAAGACUGCAGGUAAUAUGGAUUUGAAGGACUGCGACGAUGUGUAAGUUGUUCCUCUUGUGACAAGAGGCUGUUCAAAGGAAGGGGAGAUGCGUGUGGCCUGGGUGACUCAGGCCACCGUUCAGGGAUUGCUGAUGAUAGGUUUGACUUCGAUCCAAGCUCUUCAAAAUUGCUAGGAGGAAAUGGGAAGAUCUGUAGCAAAGCAUGAGCAUUUUGCUGAACCGGAUUCUUGAUGUGUACACUUCGAGGCAAACGUUAAACUGAAGUGCUACAGUUGCGGUGCUUGGGAUUUGGCAUGUACUCUGAAUUCAAAUGCGCCGUUGAUGCGUGCCUUCCUCGCCCUGCAGCCCUGUCUUGGAAGGUGGGUAAGAACUAUUCUACUGAGUGCAGGAUGCAGGGCAAAAACAUCCAGUAAACUACUUUUCUUGAGCCCAGGAUGGGAUGCAACAACAGAUGGUUGACCAUGAUUUUUAUCCUAUCGCCCACGUUUAAGUGCCGCAUGUGGAUUCUCUAAUUCUUUAUUUCAUCAUGUCACAUGCCUGUAGGUAUUUUCAUAGUUUAUAGGAGAUACAUGAUGCCACAAAUGGAAUGAUGAAAUCUUUGAUUGGAUUAUUCAUGGCAGUACUAUCCCUCACAUAUAGUCUAUCUUAUCAGGAGCAGCUUGACUAAAACUAUGGUAUGGACAAUUUGGAUGAUGCACAGAGGGGCUAAAUGUCUUAGCAAUAUACUAAAAAAGCUUGCAGUCUGAAGUACAAAUGUUAUUUCUUUUUAUCAGCUUUAAUGUUUGAUAACGAAUAACCAUGAUAAUUAAGUGAGUGGAUCCCUCAUUGAACAUAACAAACGUUUCAUACUUUCCUAAUACUGGAUAUACGUGAGAUUUGUGCAUAUUUACUUACUUUCUGUGAAAACUACAUGGUACACAUUUCUUGCUACAAUGGCAUGCAUGCUAAAAAAUCUCAGUUACCACUGUAUAAUUCCAAUUCGGAUUAGAACAUGUGCAUCGCACAAUUUAAUUGGCUCACUACGGUCUUAACCUUCUAACGAAAACAGGAAACGCUCAUAAUCUUUGGUUAUUUGUCCUCACAGUUUUUUUCUUGAGCAGAGCUUCCUCGGGUGAUGCUGAUGAAGGCAACCUACUCAGAACUUGAAAAAAAGAUUGUGAUAAGAAGGGGUGGAGCUGGGUAUGCAACAGACAAGAAUGAUGGCCCCCUUGUUUUGUUUUUGGUAACCCACUUCAUUCACUGCUGCACUUGUUGGUUCGACCCAUAGUCUCUGUGGAUUCAGUUCUUGAUGUCAGCAAAUAUUUUUUUGUCCAUCAGAUGUGUGUGAGUGCAUAAUCAAUAGUUUUCCUCUUUUUUGUACCUUCUUAAUUUAUACAGGCCAUUUGUCACAAAGUUAAACUGUCAUUCCUUAUAUCAUCAUGGAAUAUGUUUGUGUAUUUUUUCUUAGCUUAAGCAAGUGCAUAUAGACAUGUUAACUAAUAUUCAUAGAGCAGCGCAAAAAAGGAAGCGCAAAAAAGGAAGAUAUGUUGGUGGUUCAGAUUUUUCAUCCGACAUGCAGUAAGGAUAAAUGGGAUGAAUUUCAAGUUUGAUCGCCCUUUGGAUAUAUUUACGGUGUUGUCUUCUCACCACCUCAUAUUUAUGAGUUUUGGUGGCACCGAUAACUUCAUAGGUGUAGUAAAAUUCGUUGGUCAAAUACUCUUUUACCUGAAGGAACUAUUAGAGUAUAGAACAAAUUCAGGAACUGAAGUUGAUAUAUUCAGGCAGGGUAUAUUUUUUUUACAUAUAUGCUUGUACUACCAUCUUUUUUAGGUAGAUAUGAUGUAAGGUAGAACAAAAGUUUGCGCCUGCUCAAACUGCAACAACUUGCAUAUGCAACCUGGUGAAUUGAUGUCGAAUAACUCCCUACAAUAUUUUCUUUAACAUAUUCUAGCCGAAGCUCUCAAAGGCACAACACGCAAGCUUAUGAAUAUCGAUUGGGAUGUUAGUGUGGAGAUCAAACACGAUGUGCUCAGGAAAUUCUUAAUAUGUUAGUGUUCUUUAAGCGUACCACCCUUUAGAUUGAUGAACUAUGUGUGUUCAUAUUGUAUUCUAUAAGGAGAUACAAUUGUACAAAAUCUAGCAUCAGCUUGAUUUAGAGGGAUAAAUCUCUGAGAAAUGUACUAAUGUUUUAUAUUUGAUAUUUGGGAGCUUGUAAUGUAUUCUUGAUUCAGUUUAUGUCAGUCAAGAUACACAUUGGGCAUGCAAGAUAUCAUUGGUUUAUG
Lolium perenne is the source of this 3600-nucleotide long non-coding RNA. RefSeq lists it as uncharacterized. The record is from RefSeq and is a predicted model, not a curated record. Lineage: Eukaryota; Viridiplantae; Streptophyta; Magnoliopsida; Poales; Poaceae.